Molecule: small nucleolar RNA, 131 nt
Organism: Protopterus annectens (West African lungfish)
Lineage: Eukaryota; Metazoa; Chordata; Ceratodontiformes; Protopteridae
Product: small nucleolar RNA SNORA68
Exons: 1
Source: RefSeq, a predicted model, not a curated record
AAUGCACACAUAACCCAAAGGUCAUUAUUUUGUUGUAUAAUGCUCUUGCCUUGUGUGCUGAUAUUAUAAGGACCUUGUCGCCUUUCAAAAGCUGUUGUGCUUUUGAAAGUGAACUCAAGCGUUCUACAGAA